GUGGGGGAUAUUGCACAAUGGAGGAAACUCUGAUGCAGCGACGCCGCGUGAGGGAAGACGGUCUUCGGAUUGUAAACCUCUGUCUUUGGGGACGAUAAUGACGGUACCCAAGGAGGAAGCUCCGGCUAACUACGUGCCAGCAGCCGCGGUAAUACGUAGGGAGCGAGCGUUGUCCGGAAUUACUGGGUGUAAAGGGAGCGUAGGCGGGGUCUCAAGUCGAAUGUUAAAUCUACCGGCUCAACUGGUAGCUGCGUUCGAAACUGGGGCUCUUGAGUGAAGUAGAGGCAGGCGGAAUUCCUAGUGUAGCGGUGAAAUGCGUAGAUAUUAGGAGGAACACCAGUGGCGAAGGCGGCCUGCUGGGCUUUUACUGACGCUGAGGCUCGAAAGCGUGGGGAGCAAACAGGA
This 405-nucleotide ribosomal RNA is filed under the name uncultured bacterium. RNAcentral's name for it is "bacterial SSU rRNA". It matches the Rfam family "Bacterial small subunit ribosomal RNA", at positions 354 to 777 of the family's 1533-position model. The record is from RNAcentral.